AUCCAUCUGACGAGUCUGAAAUAGGACGAAACGCGAGUCCUGAAU
This 45-nucleotide non-coding RNA is filed under the name Schistosoma mansoni. Lineage: Eukaryota; Metazoa; Platyhelminthes; Trematoda; Strigeidida; Schistosomatidae. The record is from RNAcentral.